GACGAACGCUGGCGGCGUGCUUAACACAUGCAAGUCGAACGGUAAGGCCCCUUCGGGGGUACACGAGUGGCGAACGGGUGAGUAACACGUGGGUGAUCUGCCCUGCACUUCGGGAUAAGCCUGGGAAACUGGGUCUAAUACCGGAUAGGACCACGCUCUGCAUGGAGUGUGGUGGAAAGCUUUUGCGGUGUGGGAUGGGCCCGCGGCCUAUCAGCUUGUUAGUGGGGUGAUGGCCUACCAAGGCGACGACGGGUAGCCGGCCUGAGAGGGUGUCCGGCCACACUGGGACUGAGAUACGGCCCAGACUCCUACGGGAGGCAGCAGUGGGGAAUAUUGCACAAUGGGCGCAAGCCUGAUGCAGCGACGCCGCGUGGGGGAUGACGGCCUUCGGGUUGUAAACCUCUUUCAGUACCGACGAAGCGCAAGUGACGGUAGGUACAGAAGAAGCACCGGCCAACUACGUG
RNAcentral lists this ribosomal RNA (464 nucleotides) under uncultured bacterium. RNAcentral describes it as "partial 16S ribosomal RNA". It matches the Rfam family "Bacterial small subunit ribosomal RNA", at positions 28 to 507 of the family's 1533-position model. The record is from RNAcentral.